This is a long non-coding RNA of Empidonax traillii (willow flycatcher), 327 nucleotides long. RefSeq lists it as uncharacterized. The record is from RefSeq and is a predicted model, not a curated record. NCBI's taxonomy places the organism in Eukaryota, Metazoa, Chordata, Aves, Passeriformes, Tyrannidae. The transcript is spliced from 3 exons.
UGUGAAGGGAUGGUAUAGAUCUCUCCCAGAUUUUACACACACAGAGAUCUCUGACCAAUGACAUUAGCCCACUAGAAAGUGCCUGCAGCACCUCUCCAAGGUGAACUUUUUGAAACUCAAUCUGAUGUGCUCUGCACUGACUUACGUAGGUCUUGCAGUGCUCCUCACCUCUCAGAUUUCAUUCUCUGUGCCCUGCAAGCAUCAACAUCCAGAUGAAGUUUUCCCUCCAGCUUGAUCAUUCCAGGAAAUUUUACCCUUUCCUUCUGGAGUGAGGUUAAUGGCUGGUGAAGGCCUUCUACAGCUCGCCAAUGAGCUCAGCAUUUGCAG